Molecule: ribosomal RNA, 435 nt
Filed under: uncultured bacterium
Lineage: Bacteria
Description: bacterial SSU rRNA
Rfam family: Bacterial small subunit ribosomal RNA
Source: RNAcentral
AUUGAACGCUGGCGGCAUGCUUUACACAUGCAAGUCGAACGGUAACAGGCCUUCGGGUGCUGACGAGUGGCGAACGGGUGAGUAAUGCAUCGGAACGUGCCCAAUCGUGGGGGAUAACGUAGCGAAAGUUACGCUAAUACCGCAUAAGCCCUGAGGGGGAAAUGGGGGACCGCAAGGCCUCACGCGAAUGGAGCGGCCGAUGUCAGAUUAGCUAGUUGGUGGGGUAAAGGCCCACCAAGGCGACGAUCCGUAGCUGGUCUGAGAGGAUGACCAGUCACACCGGAACUGAGACACGGUCCGGACUCCUACGGGAGGCAGCAGUGGGGAAUAUUGGACAAUGGGCGCAAGCCUGAUCCAGCCAUGCCGCGUGGGUGAAGAAGGCCUCGGUGUAAGCCUUAGGUGGGAGGAAGGCAGUCAUGCUAAUACCAUGGAUGA